CCGCCGCCCGCCUCCCGCUCGCCUCCCGCUCACCCCCCGCUCGCGGAGCUGAGCUGCGAAGGGGGCCGGGCUGGCGCCGAGGGCGCGUCCCCAAACGGGCACGGGCGCGGACGCGCGCGUUCCUGGGGCUCCGCGGUCAGUCUUUUCCCUAGGAUGAAGACAAAGAAGUAAUAAUUCCUACAAAGGAGAGAAGAACAGUAAGUAUGAAGUCUGAAGAACCGGGUCAUUGCGAUCUGCAUCACCAGCCACGAGCUCCCGGCUAUGGGACACCUUACACGCGGUUCUCUAGUCUCGGGUCCGCUUUCCUUAAGCUUUCUCAAUUCUCAGUUCAGUUAUCUUCAAGUUCUCUCUGCUAUCUGGUCCUUUGGUCGGACGGCCGCCUCCACAAACAAAAUGUCUUUAAGAUUCCCUGGCUCGUUUGGAAAGACUGACGACAUUAAGAAAAAUUAACAAACCUCAAGAACUGUCUGGUUACCUGAGGUCAACCACUAUCAGGAUGCAGAUGAUCCUUCUAAUAUAUCAUCAAAGGGACGAUAGUGGCCUAAUGCUAUGUCACAAUGCCUGUGUCAUUCACUUCACUUCAUCUCAUCACUAGGCAUUUUAUCCUCUCACAUCAAAAGAAGAAGGAAAAUCUCAAGAUGAAGGUGUUUCCAGCAUAUUUUCAUGGACUCAACAAAGUCAUCCAUGUUUUUUGGUUCUUUUCAUCUCUAUGUUCUAUCAUUCUUAGCAUGUUAGCCUUUCACUCUCACCCUUAUUACCUCAUGAGUUGUCAGAAUGGGUUGAUAAGCUCCAGACUCAUGUCUAGCCCAUGAGUCCCUUAGUAUCUCAGUAUGUGUAUCUACUAGGUCUGUUCAGCUCACCAGUGUCCCACAGCCUUGGCUUCUGGAUAUUUUUGGUUUUACUUAUUCACAGUCCAUAGGUUCCCCCUCCUUUUUGCAUACCCCAACUUAAAAUUAACAUCGGGUCUUAAAAUUACAUCUCUGCUGGACCCCAGUGCAUUUCUUUGCCUGGAACUGACGCUUAACCUCUGGGGGAUGCUGAUUAAUAAAAAACUCAAUUCUAAAAUGAG
Long non-coding RNA from Mustela erminea (ermine), 1069 nucleotides. RefSeq lists it as uncharacterized. Lineage: Eukaryota; Metazoa; Chordata; Mammalia; Carnivora; Mustelidae. The record is from RefSeq and is a predicted model, not a curated record. The transcript has 4 exons.